ACUAAAAAUAACCCACCCGGGCAGAAGGCCUUCCUGAACCAGGCGGCGGUGCCCAGCGUGGCCCGCGCUUUAGAAAUGCUUCGAAUGUGGAACAAGGAAGGCCGAACUGCGUGGAUAUUGAGCCAAAAUCCCAGGGCUUUGCAAAAACAGCAGGUUAAAAGGAUAAAAAAGAUACGGUUUAAGAACUCAAGAGCCAACCCCUGUAAGCCGAAAAGUGCGCCGUGGCUACCCCCAGGAACACCGCUGUUACGUACACAUUUGGAGAUGGGGACAAAGCGCCCCGUGGACAACCGAAGGAAUGUUGGAGGGUGUUCCACCAGUCCUAAAAGGGAGACCUGUCACCACUGUUGAUUCAGGAUGAAUUAAAACCAUCUUUUAAAAUCUGUAAUUGACGUAUAAUCUAAGUUUGGUUUGGUUUACAGGUGAUCUACUUGGCUUUCCUCCAGAGGUGGGUGGCAGCAGCAGGAAGGAGCCUGGCAGUGUGGGAGGAGACAGGACAAGCGUCAGGGGAAGAAUUUCCAGGUGUUGUUGGUGUUGGUUCAUCUCCACUGGCGAGAGUGGACGUGCAGAUACCUGCCACCUGAAGAACUCAGUCAUCGUGUACAUUUGAGUAACUUAACACAUUGCUGACUUAUUUGUACCACUGACUUAUUUGAUUUUACCGUGGCCAAGCUUAAGGAAGAUAAAGGACAUUCACCUGAAACUUGGGGAGGCCACAGAUUCACUGGUGCCCUGGAUGCUGCCCAGCAUCCCUCCUCCUCAGGCUCCUGUGGGGCUCACUCCCCUGCUCCUCCCCCUUCCUCUUGAGCAGCUCCUCAGUCUCCUUCUCCAGCGCCUGUUCCUUCUUCUAAAAGCUGUGUCCACAACAACAUGACUUGGGCUGCCAUCUGUUCCUCUCCACACCCUAUUCUUGCCCCUCCAGCCAGAUGCUAUGCAUGGUUUCCACCUGUCACAGGUCUCUUGCUUCAGCACUCCAGUCCCUGUUUUCCAGUGGCCCUCUAGAUACCAUCACAGCACCAUCAUCCUAUUAGUGCAAACUUUAUGAAUAUUUAAUUGCCAGGCAGUAAGCUACACCCUUUAUAUGCACUGUCUUGUUUUAAUCUUACUGGGAGGUGCCAGCCUAUGGAGAGGGAACUGAAACUUUAAGAGGCUAAAUAAAUUAGGUGCCCAAGACUGCAGAGUGCAUGCAAAGCACAGUGGACUCUUAGUCCUGCCAACUCUUAACUCCACUCCUUCACCAGAACAGUAAACUUAACAUAUCCCACACUGAACUCAGAUUCAUCCCUACCCCCUGGCUCUCCUGGAAUGUCCUUGUUUAUAAUGUUAGCACUACUAUUCCUAAAACAGAAACUCCAAACCUGGCAUUAUCUUUGACUCCUAAAAUAGAUAUGAUGGGUCUGGGUAAUGUGUCUGGAUAAUGUGUCCACCCCUAGAUCAAUCCCCUUUGACUAAGCAGCAGACUAGCUGAGACCUAACAUGACAACUGGGGCCUUGCCUGAAAUAGGGAUUGUUCCCAGACAGUUGAGCACCUAUGGAAAUGUACCCAAGGUUCUUUCACACACACAAAAAAAAUGUUUGCAACAUGCCCUGCCCUUACAACAUGAAAGUCACCAUAUAAAAAGAGAAGCCACAGAAUAAGAAGCAAAACAGUAUUGUUCUGCAAGAGACCAGCAAUUCAAUCACAUGAGAUGGAAGGCAAUUCCCACACCUUGUAUGAGUCUCUGGUGGUUAACAGUCAACAGUGAUGUGUUCAUGUUCAACAAAGUUCACUAGGAGGACUAGACAAGAACAGAAAACUACCCAAAUGACCAUUGGCAAUAGACCAGAUAAAAUAUGGUUCGUUCAUACAAUCGACUACUUCAGAGCAACGAAAAUUAAUGCUCUACAAACCCACACAGCAAUACUGCUGAAACUCACAAGGCAAAGCAAAAAGAAGCCAGACCCAAAACAAGAGUUCAGCGUAUGAUUGCCUCCAUGUGAAGCAAGAAAGAGGCAAAACGAAGGAAUUCCACCUCAAGGAAUCCACUGGAGGACAGCAGAGCAGCUAAGUGGGCUGGUAAUGCCGUCUCCUGUGCUAGACACCGGGUACUCACGCGUGUUCAGAUUGUCAAAAUUCAUCCAGCUGUUCACAUACCCUAUCUGCCCUUUUCUAUAUGUAUAUCAUCCUUCAAUAAUAUUGAAAUGAUGGCGGAGUGCUCAAAUAAAGGCACCUUUAAUCAGCCUUGAACUUCAACACCAAGAUUAUCCUAGAGUGACCAGUUACUGUCACCCCUGCCCCGUCCAUUACCCCACCUUCUGAGAGAACCAGCAACCUUGGGAAAGAGCCACAUUACUUACCACAUGGCCUCAUCUCCUCUGGCCCAGCCUGGCUAGAUAUCCCUCUCCUGGACACUUGGGAGUGGGACACUAUGAAGCCGAGUCACAAGAUCCGGUCUGCUUGAUCUGACAACUUAUACGGACUGGAGGAAGGAGUUUCUAGACGCGUGCACAGUGAUAACAACAAGAAAGAUGACCUGCAGGACUCAGAAGAGGAGAGCCCACGUACAGAGGAAAGCAUAUGAUCCAAGAGAGAUGGAGGGAGAUGCCACAGAGGUGCCGACUUUCAGCCCUGGUUCCCAGACCCCAGCUUCAUCAGCCUGGCCAUUUGCUCCCUGCCGUUGCAUCUGACACGCCUACCAAAGGCCCUAAGCAACAGGUCCGGGCGAUCAAGGAUGGAACCUUUAACACUGUGAGCCAAAUCCCAGAGUAUCUGGGGUCCAGCCUGUUGGGGGAAGUGCCCAGGAGGCUCGACUGUGGGGACCCAUUGCCAGCUAAGGAGAUAAGCCAGAGAGCAGACGGCGAAGGAGAGAACUGGAAUACAACUUUAAGAAAGAGCCUCCCAGACUCCCAUGUGAACUACGAACUGAGCACAAGCCCCCUCAUUCAAGGCCCAACAGAAUGAUGAAAAGCUGCCAUGAGGGGAGCCACUCUGCCCCACCACAUGCUCCCUGCCAUGAUGCCACACCACGGCCUGAAACCACAGACCAAAAUCAACCUCUCCUCCUUGACAAGAACUAUGACCAACACCCAGCAAGCCCCAACAGAGACAGGCUGAGCCCUUCCUUUUAGAGUAUCCCCUGUCUCUGUCCCCUUUCCAGAAGAAGCAAAGCAUGUCCCCAGAUUGAGGACAAAAGAUGCAAACAUCCGCAAUAUUGUUGACUCACAGUGAAAAAGACUGGCAGGACCCACCAGGCGCUUCACACGUAAAACUACGCCAGGACUGGGGCUCAGCAGUGGGAGCUUGCCUCGUACACGGGAGGCACUGGGUUGGCUCCCCAGCACCCAAAAAAAUAACUAACAAAGGUAUUGUGUCCAUCUACAACAAAAAGAGCAAAAAGGAAGUUACUCUUUCCAGCCUUCACUUGGUUUCUGUGGAAACAACCAUCCCUGAAGCUCACACUCCCUUGGGGACCUGACGGUGAGCUCCAGAGGGGACGAAGAGCAGCUAGUAGAAAGCACUGAGCCCACGUUCACAACUCCCUCUCCACAACCUAGUGCGCUCCUCAGAGCAUCACCCCCAGGGCACCUACUCAUCAAGGACCCUGCUGGGUAAAAUGUGAAACUGCCAGUUCUUUGUGGGUGACCUGUGGGACAGCAGCCCUACCCAAGAGGACGGAACCUCAUGGACCCUCAGGCUCUGCAGGCUGGGAAGUGAGUUUCAUGCUGAAAACCUGUUAGCAUCCUAAAAGGUACCGGAUCAGUAAAAUCACGUGAGGAAACAGGCAGCAAGGCUUCUGUACUGCACAGAAUUGUACCCCAGGAGCCGUUCAAGACACCAAUACCAGUUGUGGCUCCAUGGUCAAGCAAGGGCAAAGAGUCCAACCUCCAGCACCCUCCCAACAUUUUUUAAGUGUUAAUACCAUGAUGAAGAGGAAAAGGCCCUGGACUAGAGGUCAAGAGCUCAAAGUUCAGGUGCAAUUGUGCAAUCAGAAAUAGCUCUGCAGCAUAUACACGUCACCACCAAGUCCCUCUGAGCAAUUCCCUCCUAACCAGUCAAAGGACAUGAGUUAGAACUAGGUAAUCAUCUAGCACUUCCUCACUUCAAAAUCUCUGACAUCCUUUAAGGAAGACCAAUAAGCAUAGAAAUAAAGAGUGGACAUCAAUUACAAUUUUAGAUUCUCCAGUAGUGUAUGGAAUCAAUCGACUUCCUAAAAUCUAGAGUCCUGGCAAAUCACCUGGUGCAAUUGCAUCUCAUUUUAUCUUAAAAUUCCACGAGUUCAUGUCGAGUGCUCUGUCCAGCCGGGGACAUUUCACAGAAUGAGGGGGCUUUUGCCUUUGCAGACCUCAGUGGGCAGAGGGAUACAGGUGACUUAACAAGCAACCACAACCCAGUGAUGAGGAACAGGACAGAAAAGAACAUCUAACAGGAAGCACGUGCGCCAGCACAGAAGGCUCUUCUCCCCGAGCCACGUCCACGUGAGAGCGUGAGAGCGAAGGCAUGAGCAAAAGUCUGAGCCCAGAGCCGAGGAGCGGGGCCCUCCCAGCAGAGGGAGCCCUGAGGAGAGAGGGGAGAGCCCCCGGGAGAGGGCUCGCUGCAUGUGAGGCAGACCUGCAGAGGACAAGGGACAAGGGGAAGCAGCAGCUGGGCAGCCGGCCCUCCCAGAGCAGAACAGUUUGCCUUUGCUUUCAUCUGCAGGCUGAAAGGUGGUCCAGGCUGCGGGGCUGAGCAGGAACCCACCAGGAGUCUGCAGCACGAAUCCGACCAAGGGAGACCGGGCCAGGGGAAGGGGAGAGACAGAGGAGCCGGGCCCAGACUAGGUGAGUGAGCAGGUGUGCGGAGGGCAAGACUGAUUCCAGGCCCAGAGAACGGGGAGAAGCAACCUGUGUCAGCCAAGAGGGCUGGAGCAGCCUGAAACUGCGGCAGGCACUUGGCUACCUCUUGGCAAGAGGCUGCCUGAGACGGCAGAGAACACAGAGGAAAAGGAACCAAGAGGCAGAGGGGGGCUGCUUGUGAGCCCUCAGUCUGCCUCGGACCAGCCAGCUCAGGUCGGGGGGUCCCCUUCAGACUGUGCUCUUCUCCCUGGCAGUGCUGGUGUUCUUGUGGUUAGUUCAGUCUGACUCUGGAUUCUGUCACCAGGAACUGAAAGAAUUCCAGGAGGACGGGUACAGCUCAAAUGGGGAGCCCAGGGUAGACGUGGCACCAGAAGACGAGCCCAGCAGGAGCCAAGAACGAACAGCACUGGGACAGCAGAGGACCAGGACAGCAGGGGACCAGGACUGCAGGGGACCAGGACUGCAGGGGACCAGGACUGCAGAGGACCAGGACUGCAGGGGACCAGGACUACAGAGGACCAAGACUGCAGAGGACCAGGACAGCAGAGGACCAGGACAACAGAGGACCAGGACAGCAGAGGACCAGGACUGCAGAGGACCAGGACUGCAGGGGACCAGGACUACAGGGGACCAGGACUGCAGAGGACCAGGACUGCAGAGGACCAGGACUGCAGAGGACCCCACCAGAGACCUCCCCAGGAGGCACCAGCCAGCGAGACCAAGUGCUUCUGAGUGACGGUUAGAUGCAGACCACUGGACUUAGCUGCAAGGACUCAGUUGGUGACCUGACCGAGGACAGCGUCAGUGACCAUGGGAGGAGAGGCCAGACUGAAGGGCACCGAGGUAAGGGACAGCAAUGGAUACCAGCCACUCUGAGUCAGGAACCAGGUUGUGAAGAGGGGGUUGCUAGGGAGGGUGGGUUUUGAUGGGUGCCACGGAGAGCAUGCAAAGGCCAGGAGGUACAGGAGAGGGGACACUCAACCCAGAGGUCCCCGAGAGGGAAGGGAAACCCACGGACUGAAAGGAGCUGUUUGAAGGCCUCAACCUCCGUAAAGUCCAGCAGCAGGCCCUCUGCACAGAGUGAGGGGAGCCUGGAGGCCACCUGAACAAUCUGCUGUGGAGUAUGGGAGAGAAAGUUCUAGAAAAUCCAGGAGGGUUACCUGUAAGCUAUGAGGA
Molecule: non-coding RNA, 5988 nt
Organism: Ictidomys tridecemlineatus (thirteen-lined ground squirrel)
Lineage: Eukaryota; Metazoa; Chordata; Mammalia; Rodentia; Sciuridae
Source: RefSeq, a predicted model, not a curated record